This 3204-nucleotide long non-coding RNA is filed under the name Pan troglodytes (chimpanzee). RNAcentral describes it as "long non-coding RNA NONPTRT005299". Lineage: Eukaryota; Metazoa; Chordata; Mammalia; Primates; Hominidae. The record is from RNAcentral.
UCCACUCCUUGUCCCACCAACCCCUGUCCUCUGAUCACAGGCGCGGGCUCUGCUUUCCCUGUAUCCUGCCACAUCCACCAAGGGCUCUAGUUUGCCUCCAAGGAGGGGCAGCUGCAAAGACCACAGACACCUCAAUUUACAUAAAAUUAUCUCACUCCAUUUUAUUUAAGAUUUUUUUAUCCAGUUAGUAAAAGGAAGAUGUGUCUCUCUUUAUACAUAUGUACAAGUUGUUAUAAAAAUAGACAGCACAUUCAAAGAGAAAAGGCUUGGCAUUUUUCUGAUUCCCUCUAAAUAGCAUCUGUACACAGGAGUCUGGGUUUGAGCAGGGGAAUCUUAAUGAUUUAAAUUAAAUGAUUCCCCUAUACCCCCUACUCCAAAAAAGUUUUAAAAAUCAAUCUAUCGAAACUCAAUUCCGCGAUUUUCAGGUGUGCAAAUCAGAGGCUUGCCCGCCCGGAGGUACCUGCUCCACCAGGGACAUCAGGCAGGGGCAGGCAGAAACACCUCCCAUGCAAACACUGCCCCUCUGUCUCUACUGGAGGGCAGCAAGCUCGGGCUGGCCGGGCUGGGAGGGCCGGUGCCGAGCCUGCCCCCUCUCUCCGCCCUCUUCACCUCACUCCUGCUGUCCCUUCCUCUCUCAGUGCAAUAUAGACAGUGCAUACAGCCAAGCAGGGGACUGAAGGGCAUGAGCAGGGAGACUGUGCAUUCAGGAUGGGCAAAGGGGACUCUGCAAGAGGAGCAGUGAGGCUGUCCUGCUGAUUGAGGUGGCUCCUGGUCUCUUUACUGGCUUCUGGGAGUCCCCUGGGUGGAAGGUGCUACGGUUGCUGGUAGGAUCUGAAGGUUCUCUUGGUGUGAACCAUGCAGGACGGGAGGAAUUGCUGGGAACACAACUGCCUGUGGAUAGACUUCCUCUAGCCUCUGCCAUGCUUAGCAGCCUCCACCAUCUCUCGCAGUCACUGCUCUCUUCAAUGAUGACACUCUAGGGUUCAGAGACCUGGGGAGCUGCCUGAAGACUGUGGACAACAGGUAUACAAUCUCCCUUACUAGCCCUAUGAGAAAUCACAAUCUUAAGAGAAAUCUCUACCAUGGAAGGCUCUUCACAGCACCUGCGGAGACUUUGCAAGGGACGUGUCAGAGCCGAAGAGUGGAAUGGGGAUGGAAACAGUAUGCCUGAGCAUCUAAAGGGGGUCUGUGUCAGGCUUGCCCCGUGAGAGGUUUAAGACUUGGCUAUGCAGUUCACUUGAGAUGCAGUGGGGCUGAUCCCUGCCCUGUGCCUUCCUCCUACAGGCACCCCAGAUGCUCCUGAUGAGACACAGAUGAUAAAAGUGCUCACACCAUCCACCUGCCUGUCCUUCCCCUGCUGGACAUUUCCACUUCUGACUCAGGAUGCAAGAUGCUGCACGGGGCAAGCCAUCCAAAGAUCACUGGCAGGUCAGGACUCUAGCCCUGGUUUGGUUGAAGGAAGUCGGAGGGCCCAGAUGGUUACCGUCCUCCAGAGGGGUUGGUGCCUUUGCCCUGUUUCCGGACCAGAGAGUCUGGGGCUAGGCUGCUGGUCAUGUGGAGGUUCUUGGGAUUCCCAGGAACAUUAUUUCCCUUGCUCAAAGGGGAACUCAAAGGAGAAGAGGCGCUUGAAGGUCCAAAGUCAGCAAGGCCAGCAGGCCGAACAAGAGAUGUCUGCAGAGGACUGCUGGCGGAGAUUCCUGUGGGGACGGAGAGAGACAAGAACGUUCUGAGGAGAGACCCUGAUGAGUAUAUGCAAUGCCCCAGCCAUGGGUGAGACCCUGCCACGGCAGCCUGGACUACUGGCAUGACUGUUGUUUUCCAAGGAUGUGACCUCAUGUGCAACCUACUUCAACAAGGCUGGAGAACUCCAGGAGAAGCAAAGACUGCCCAGCAGUGUGUCCCUGCUACACGGUCAGGACACUCCUUACGGCUGUGAUGCAGGCAUCUAAAAGGAGCCUCACCUCACUGAAAGGGCUUGGCAUGGCUGAGUCCACGCUAAUGAAGGAGUCAUCUCCAUCAGCAGAGAGGUUGGAGUUAUCAGCCGAGGGAACAAAUGGGAUCACCAGGUUCACACCCUCUUUUCUCCUUUUCCCAUCCAAUUCAUCUUCUUUUUUCUUCUGGGAACACACAGAUAAAUAUGGAAAACGUGUGAGGAUGCACCCCAAAAGAAAAGCGGGAUUUGGGAAGAAAAGGAUAACAGAACUUUUAUUCUUUAGUUUACAAACUUCUCAAUUAGCAUAUUUUUAAGGAAGAAAAACUGCAUAAGGAAGAAGGGAUAGCUUAAUAGGAGUUUAUGUGUAUUUCAGUCGAGUACUGUGGCACAUGCCUGUAAUUCUAACUACUUAGGAGGCUGAGGUGGGAGGAUUGCUUGAGCCCAGAAAUUGGACCCCAGCUCAAAAGAGAAAAAAAAAAAAAGCUUAUGAAUAUCUGCCACAAUAAUAGAGUUUAAAGUUGGGGCAGUCACACUGAACCAGAGCCACACCAACCCUGAUCCUAAUGGGCCGAAGAGCCUCACCAGCCGCUGGCACAUCCAGCACUUAUUGAGGCUGACUGAAUGCAGUCCCACAAAGAGAGCCAAUGCUUUCAAUAUAUUUUCUACAUAUCUGUUUUUAAGACAAAUUUUUAAGACAGUUCAAAUCCUUGGUGUGAAAAAGAGAUGAACAGACAUUUAGAAAUAAACCGGGGGUUUAUUUUUCUAGUGACAGAUGACACUGAGUUGGUACACUAGCAGAAUUAUGGUAGGUUUUGGAUCUCAUGACCUCUUAGGCCCCUUCUAAGAUUCUACGGAGCCUUAUAAGUAAUGCCGAUCUUAGUCACAUUUUAGCCUUCCACGCUUUGUAACAGCCCUGACAAAUGGUUUCCAUAAUUAAACUGUGACCACCGUAAGGGUGAGUUUGUGUGGAGAGUACAGAUCUACCAAGGCCACAUUUCUCCUGAGCAAAGCAUGAGUCAGCCCAGAAAUGUAGCUGAUCAUACACAGCUGGAGCUUGAUAGCAACCAGUAACCCAGAUGAGAAGCCAUGUACCCCAAAGCCUUUUUGGUAAGUACCCCAGGCCCCAUUAGCCCCUAUCCACCAUUCCAGGCUGGAGAUACCUUCUCUGCAUACUUUUCCCGCUUCCGCUUGCGCUCUUUCACUCGGUUGGUUUCCUCCUGUUGCCGUUUCUCUUCCUGCCGCAGCCUCACUAUCAAGAAAAUAAAUUAAGA